CUUAGAAAGGAUGUGUUAAAAAUUGACACAAAAAAUGUGUUGUUACACUAUUAACACAUUUUGUGUGAAUUUUAGCAUAACAUGUGUAAGAAAAUGUGUAAACAUUGAAAAAAUGUGUAAAAAGCUUAACACACUUGAUGUGUUGCACAGUUUAACACAUUCUGUGUGUUAUUUUCGGAAUCUAACAACAGGACCUAAAAGCAGCGCAGUAAUUUGAUGCUAGCCCUUUGUUUAGUGAAAUAAAUUGUAGAUGAACAAUGUAUUAAAACUAUAUUAACUGAAUAAAUAAAAUGUUUAGUUAUUGUUUGUUUUACAUAAUCAUUUCCUCAUUACUUUCAACAAAUAACACAUUUUAUAAUGUAAUGUGGACCAAGGUGUGUAUGGUGUACUAAAAUUCUGAAAGAGGAUAAAUUUUUUAUUUCUCAAUGUGUAUGGCAUACCAAUUAAUGGCCAUGGCUAUACUAUAAGCAUAAGUAUCCACACAAAACAGGCUUAAUUUUGACCGUAACAUGUGAACUAGGGCAAUACAAGUGAAGUAAAAGUAGAAAAUGAAAUGAGUAAGAACACACAUGCUGAAAAGUGAAACAAAUUCUGCCCAGCAACAUGCAUACCAGCGGCGGGAAGGGGGCGCUAUGUUUUCGCGCCACUGAGACAAAGGAGACAAAGAUGGAGGUUACAUCGCCUAGUAUGUUGUCAGACCUUACAGAGCAUUAUUACGUCCAGUCUCCCAUUGUGGAUUCCUAAACUGCGCAACCUUAGACGGAAUAAGAAGCGAAAAGUGACAGAUGACUGUAGUGAAGACAAGAAGCUCAGGCAAGAGGAUGGGAAUACCAGCAGCACAGAUGAGUGGGUCACCCUGAUCAAAAGAUUGCGGCCCUCAGCUGAGAACCUUCCAGCUAUCAUGUCAGGCAUGGAGGAAACAUACACCAGUCGCAGAGCCUGGAUUAGCAAGGACUCCCCCACUGCCGCUGGAAUAUUCAGAGAGUACCCACGGUUUUUGGACAUGCCAAGUCUGGUGGACUUGGAGUUUGGCAAGCUUACAGGAGGAAAGACAGAUCUCUUUUUACGAAAAUGGGAAGCCAGUAUCAUUCCGAAGCUCAAAUCAGUAGCUGCCCUGGAAACAAGAGUGAUCUAAAGAGUGCAACCAGGCAGUACAUCAUUGUUGCUAAGAAUGACAGAGUAACCAUUUCUCUGAAUGAAGCCCAGACGUGUGUUGUGGAUAAACUUUUCAAACUGUACUGGGUAUGUAACUUGUCCUAUCCAGCACCGGUUGUCUUCACCUUCUUUGAGUUUGUCUAUGACCUGCCGCUGUCCACCCAAAGGAAAACCAAAGUACUGGAGCUGAUUGCACAGAUUAAAGCAUGCAAGUACAAAAUGUUCACCUGUCCAAAAUGUAGAGAGUCUCUGUUCACAAAGGUGAGAAACCUCAUUUGGCAUCUUUGUCAAAUACACUGCUUAUCAGGACUCUGACCAUUUUUAUGCCUAUGCAGUGGAAAGGUCAGACAAUAUGAACUGAUUGGGUGAAAUCUUUGAUUUUUGGCCUUUAUAUAUAGUGACAAGCUUUGAUGCUAAUAAGCUGUAUUUUUAUAUUAUAUAUUUAUAUUAGCUGUACAAAAUUGUAUAACCUGGAUGCUAUAAUCGCCAAAAUGUAUGUUUUUCUGUUUGCAUGCAACUGCACAUUUGUUGAAUGUUGACAAUUUGUUGAAGAUGACAAUUGUUGCCUUUAAAAAAAUUUAAUUCAUGUAUUGUCUGGACAUGAUUAUAUUAUAUAUAUAUAUGUAUAAUAUAUUUUGCCCUUUUUUCAAUUUUUUGACAUUUUAAUGAUCUAGAGAGAUAGAAAGUUAGUCAGAUAUGAAUUUUGUUUGAUUUUGUCAAGUAAAAAUUGUGAUAUAGCUUUGGCUAAAAUUGAAUUUAAAACUUUUUAAUUGAAAAUAUUCUGACAGUUGUUGUUUAUUCAGUUUGUAAUGAUUUAUAAUAUGCUAAAUAAAAAAUGGAAUUCAAUAAAUAUCAUAUAUACCUA
Long non-coding RNA from Oreochromis niloticus (Nile tilapia), 2020 nucleotides. RefSeq lists it as uncharacterized. The transcript is spliced from 3 exons. Lineage: Eukaryota; Metazoa; Chordata; Actinopteri; Cichliformes; Cichlidae. The record is from RefSeq and is a predicted model, not a curated record.